Molecule: ribosomal RNA, 371 nt
Filed under: Ditylum brightwellii
Lineage: Eukaryota; Bacillariophyta; Thalassiosirophyceae; Lithodesmiales; Lithodesmiaceae
Description: partial Bacterial small subunit ribosomal RNA
Rfam family: Bacterial small subunit ribosomal RNA
Source: RNAcentral
AGCGUUGUUCGGAAUUACUGGGCGUAAAGGGCGCGUAGGCGGCCUUCUAAGUCGGACGUGAAAGCCCCAGGCUUAACCUGGGAACUGCGUCUGAUACUGGAAGGCUUGGAUUCGGGAGAGGGAUGUGGAAUUCCAGGUGUAGCGGUGAAAUGCGUAGAUAUCUGGAGGAACACCGGUGGCGAAGGCGGCAUCCUGGACCGAGAUCGACGCUGAGGCGCGAAAGCUAGGGGAGCAAACGGGAUUAGAUACCCCGGUAGUCCUAGCCCUAAACGAUGAAUGCUUGGUGUGGCGGGUAUCGAUCCCUGCCGUGCCGAAGCUAACGCAUUAAGCAUUCCGCCUGGGGAGUACGGUCGCAAGGCUGAAACUCAAAG